ACCUCAACCCCGCCUCCCUGACGUCGCGACGCCGACGCCCUGUCCUCGUCCUCCUCCCCGCCGGCCCCCUCGACCCUCGUCACCCCCGCACCUCCCCGAGUCGCCCUCGAAUUCCCCGGUGAGCUCCCGCGGCUGCUACCCCUUCCCCCUCCUUGUUUGACCGUCGUAGGACGUCGUCCACGCCACCUAUUCUUUUGACCGAAGGUGCAGCCGCCGUGCGCCCUCAUCGCGGUCACCGCGGCGGUUGACGCGCUCCCACGCUCCCGUGGUCUCGCUUGCCGCGCACCGGCUAUGCCCGGGCUGCGCUGUUGCCGCUAUCACCGCCGCUCCUCUCCUACUGAUGUCGCGUUGUUGCACCCCCGUCCCCCUACAGGCUCACCUGGCUGGCGCCACCGACGCCGUUGCCUCUAGCUACAGCCAGUGCCACGCGCCGCCGCUCGUCGUCCGUGCUGUAGGUUGUGGCCGCCAGCGCCCCUGGGCGUGAAGCACAGCUUCGGCCAUAGCCGGCCGUGCCUCCGCCUGAUGGGCUGGCCCCUGCUUAGAUUAGCCACCAAAUCCCCCCUAACCCCCUGACCAUCGGCCCCCACCACUCUAAUUAACUAUGGUUAAAACUUUACCUCUGUUAAAUUCUGUUGCACUGACAACUGCCCCCCACCACUUAAUCGACCCUCUGUUAAAAUAAACUACUAGUUAAAACUAAUUAACUUUUAGUUAUUUUCGCUGACAUGUGGACCCCGCUGUAAAUUAAAUUGAUAGAUUAAAUUAAAAAUGCCUAAGUCUAUGACAGCAGGGACCCACCCUUACUAUUCACCUUUUGACCAGUCAAAUGUUGAUGGGUCAACUGGGACCCCCGGCCCACCUGUCAGCCAUUGGGUACACUUUUGUGUACACUGUGUUGGGUGUGCCUAGCAUUUUAGCUUUUUUCGAAUUGAAAUUAAUUUCAGAAUAGUAUUAAAACUUUGAAAAAAUUAUAGUAAAUUAACCGUAACUCGUAUCGAAAAACUUUGUACAUGAAAGUUGCUCAGAACGACGAGACGAAUCUGAACUCGCGUUUCAUUCGUCCGCUACACGUCCCUAGCAUAACAAACGUUGAACUUUUCCACUCUGGUUCAUCUGUCUAACAGACGUCCGGAACCGGGAAUACUUUUCCGGAUGUUUCCCCCUUCACCGGUAUCGUGUAAUACUGCGUUAGAACACCCCUAGCACCGUGUAUCUUCUUGUCGUGCUUAAUGUUUCUAGUGUGUGCUUUAUACUUACUGUUUCUUCCCCCUCUUCUCUCCGGUAGACCCCGAGACUGAUGCUCCCCCUGUGAUCGAAUACGUCGACGACGACCCUCCUUCUUGUCUGAGCAACCAGGCAAGCCCCCCCUUUGAUCAUCCCGAUAUCGCCCAUUCUAUACUCUCAUGCUUGCAUUAGAUUUUGCUACUGUAAUUGUUUGCUCCUAUUCUGAUGCAUAGCCUGCUUUUGUACAUGCUUAUUGUUACCUACCUGCUUAUCCUAAACUGCUUAGUAUAGGUUGGUUAGUGAUCCAUCAGUGACCCCCACCUUGUCCUUGUUGCCCCUGCUUCAUCAUCGACGACCCGAUCAACGUGAUCGACGACCAGAGCCUGACACCUCACAUCACAUCCCGCCCCUUUAGUUUCUCAACUCUGCAGAGCUACUAUCAAGUGCCGAUUGUGAUCCCUCAUAACGCACUCCUGAUGAUAAUUCUGUAGUGUAGCUAUUUGGUCGUGGUCAUCGAGGGUGAUUUCCUCUUUCACCAUUCUCGAUACGGCUCUGUCAUUCAACACCUCAAGUGUGAACCUCGAGGGUGGUCCCUCUUACGUUCACCUUGAUGAUUACAUUGAGUGGAAUCAACCGGGGGUGAUUCCUCGUGUUUUCCCCUUGAUGUUUGGACACACGGUUACCUUGACUUUACUUGAGACCUUGGUGGAAGUCGGGCGGGCCCGGAGAGCACCCGCAAGAUAAUGACGUGGCACGUCCAGGCAUUCUAGGCCCUUGUCGUAAGUCCACGAGACAUGGCGACGGGGUCACUUUCGAUCGUGAGUCUCUGCUCGUCUCCGCAAGCUAAUAAUACACUAUGGUUUGGGUAUUUGUUCUGAGUUGACCUUUGUCCUUUACGCAACAACCACCACGUGAGAAUAGUUAUGGGCCUCGAUGUCGCAGUAUCAGCCGAAGCUUUGUCACACGUCCAGUUCAGCAUUGUGGGCCUGUCGGGCCAGUGUCAUCCAGUAUGAGGUGGUGCUCGUCCCGGCCCGACGGACAACGACCCGGAGUGCAACGGGCGAUGGGCCCAGACCCCGGAGUGCUUAGGAUGUAGACCGGCGGGGACCUCUCUACUGAGCCUAGGUAGGGCUACGUUGUGUUGAUCUUCCGAGGCCGGGCAUUGACCCCAGAAAGGUGUGUCCGGCCAGAGUGAUCGAGCGUGUUGGAAAAUGUGGUGCACCCCUGUAGGGAAGAUUAUCUAUUAAUAGCCGUGUCCACGGUAACGGACGUUCAGACUUAUAUCCUGAUCUUAUACAACUACAAAUGGAUACUUGAAUAUGUGGCUCCGGGAUUGCUUUCUCGCUGGGAGUCGAGGAAGGAUCUCUGGGCGUUAAUGUUACAACAUGCUUGUUAAUUAUAAACUGCUAUUCUUUACUCAUCUAUACGCUGCAAGAUGCUUGGAGCUGCUUGAAGAUGCUAGUCUUUGAUAGGCUAGGCUUUCCCCUCUAUUCUGGCAUUCUGCAGUUCAGUCCACAGAUACAAACUUUCCAUUUGAUACCAGUGCAUACUUAGUAUAGAUCUGAUGCUUGCGAGUACUUUGGAUGAGUACUCACGGUUGCUUUGCUACCCCUUUUCCCCCUUCUUUCUUCUUUUCGGUUGAUGCAACCAAAUGGUUGAUCCAUGGAGCCAGAUGCCACCGCUGAUGGAUACUGCUACAUGAAGACCACCGACGACCAGGAGUAGUUAGGAGGUCCCAGGCAGGAGGCCUUGCCUCUUCGAUCAUGUUGCUUUUGUUCUAGCCUUCUUAAGGCACCCUUGUUUAAUUUAUGUCCGUACUCAGAUAUUGUUGCUUCUGCUGACUCUUGUGUAUCGAGCUAUGUAUUCGAGCCCUCGAGGCCCCUGGCUUGUAAUAUAAAACUUGUAUUAAUUUGAUUUGUGUCUAGAGUUGUGUUGUGAUAUCUUCCCGUGAGUCCCUGAUCUUGAUCGUACACAUUUGUGUGUAUGAUUAGUGUACGGUCGAAUUGGGGGCGUCACAAGUUGGUAUCAGAGCCGACUGCCUGUAGGAAUCCCCCUUUCCAAC
This 3286-nucleotide long non-coding RNA is filed under the name Triticum aestivum (bread wheat). RNAcentral's name for it is "long non-coding RNA (TAES_LNC008030)". Lineage: Eukaryota; Viridiplantae; Streptophyta; Magnoliopsida; Poales; Poaceae. The record is from RNAcentral.